GACGAACGCUGGCGGCGUGCUUAACACAUGCAAGUCGAACGGAAAGGCCCUGCUUUGGUGGGGUGCUCGAGUGGCGAACGGGUGAGUAACACGUGAGUAACCUGCCCUUGACUUUGGGAUAACUUCAGGAAACUGGGGCUAAUACCGGAUAGGAGCUCCUGCUGCAUGGUGGGGGUUGGAAAGUUUCGGCGGUUGGGGAUGGACUCGCGGCUUAUCAGCUUGGUGGUGGGGUCGUGGCUGACCAAGGCUUUGAGGGGUAGCGUGCCUGAGAGGGUAACCGGCCACUUUGGGAUUGAGAUACGGCCCAGACUCCUACGGGAGGCAGCAGUGGGGAAUAUUGCACAAUGGGCGGAAGCCUGAUGCAGCAACGCCGCGUGCGGGAUGACGGCCUUCGGGUUGUAAACCGCUUUCGCCUGUGACGAAGCGUGAGUGACGGUAAUGGGUAAAGAAGCACCGGCUAACUACGUG
RNAcentral lists this ribosomal RNA (468 nucleotides) under uncultured bacterium. RNAcentral's name for it is "partial 16S ribosomal RNA". It matches the Rfam family "Bacterial small subunit ribosomal RNA", at positions 28 to 507 of the family's 1533-position model. The record is from RNAcentral.